This 364-nucleotide long non-coding RNA is filed under the name Lathyrus oleraceus (garden pea). RNAcentral describes it as "Pisum sativum (pea) long non-coding RNA (PSAT_LNC037924)". The record is from RNAcentral. Lineage: Eukaryota; Viridiplantae; Streptophyta; Magnoliopsida; Fabales; Fabaceae.
UUUAACCGUGUUGUUUCCUCUAAACCAUAAACCUUUUCUUAAACCUUAACAAACCUUAUUAUUAUUUCCUAUUUUCGCUCAUAUUUAUGUUAUUCAUACACUGUAACUGCUUCGCCCUUGUAAUAUUUUAAGUUUUAACUUGUAAUAUUUUCAGUUUUACUUUUCGCCAUCUUUAUUAUGUAACUGCACCAAAGCGUUGUAAUAAUUAGGGUUUUAUUUUCUGCCAUUUAUUUUCUGCCAUUUUAUUUUUCUGCCAUUUAAAUUCCUGCCAUUGAUCCUAUAUUAACUGCGUGGUUUAGUAAUGUAGGGCGUGAAAACCUACUAAAUUAAUUAUUUAAUAUUUUUCUAUAACCUUUAUAUUUUU